GGGCGGUUAGCUCAGUUGGUUAGAGCGUCUGUUUUACACACAGAAGGUCGCGGGUUCAAAUCCCCCACCGCCCA
RNAcentral lists this transfer RNA (74 nucleotides) under Anaerolineae bacterium. RNAcentral describes it as "tRNA-Val". It matches the Rfam family "tRNA". Rfam says of the family: Transfer RNA (tRNA) molecules are approximately 80 nucleotides in length. Their secondary structure includes four short double-helical elements and three loops (D, anti-codon, and T loops). Further hydrogen bonds mediate the characteristic L-shaped molecular structure. tRNAs have two regions of fundamental functional importance: the anti-codon, which is responsible for specific mRNA codon recognition, and the 3' end, to which the tRNAs corresponding amino acid is attached (by aminoacyl-tRNA synthetases). tRNAs cope with the degeneracy of the genetic code in two manners: having more than one tRNA (with a specific anti-codon) for a particular amino acid; and 'wobble' base-pairing, i.e. permitting non-standard base-pairing at the 3rd anti-codon position. The record is from RNAcentral. RNAcentral also lists the same sequence under 1 other name. Lineage: Bacteria; Bacillati; Chloroflexota; Anaerolineae.